Peromyscus maniculatus bairdii (prairie deer mouse) is the source of this 944-nucleotide long non-coding RNA. RefSeq lists it as uncharacterized. The record is from RefSeq and is a predicted model, not a curated record. NCBI's taxonomy places the organism in Eukaryota, Metazoa, Chordata, Mammalia, Rodentia, Cricetidae.
AAUACCUAUGCAGCCACAAACAUAAAUAAGAAAACAGAGGCUUAGCAUAACUGGGAAUAGUGGAUCUCACAAGACUCUCGUGCAUCCAUACUAUCAGAGCAAAAUGAUUUUUUUCGCUUACCUAAGCACUUCUGCCAUUCAAAUCUUCAAGCACUCCCAAGUGGGUACAUCUCUGAUGCAGCAGCCCGAGUGCAGUUCCUAAAUCUUCAAGACAUUUGAGUAAAAGGUGAGGACUGAGAAGUAGUUCUCAGGACUCAGCAUGGUGUUCGUUACGGGGGCUGUGGAUUAGGGUUACUGUCCCAGCAUUGAUCACUGCAUCUCAAGUCACAGGAUGCCACAUAGUCUUCAGUCAGUCCCUCUUGGUGUCUGUGAGGCCAAGAGUUUUUUCACUCCUAGUCUGCAAUACCCUGCCUGGGCUGUCGCCCAAGUGGCUUUCACACCUAAAGUGAGAAAGAAUUAAGUGCUUCUGCAAUUCAGAAAUGGUUCUGUCUGCCUGGGAGCUGCAAAGCUCUCUUGACUGAACUAUUCCUUUUAGACUCUGAAGCUAAGUGUACGAAGGAGCCUACAACGGUGCCAAGGAAGAGAAAGAAGCCCGCUCCAUUGGAGCUCUUCCGGGGAAGUGCUCACAGCUGCCCACUGCUUUUCACCAAGACUCCUAUGUUUUCCUCAUCACACAGGCCACUCUCAGUUCAUUUGAAGUGUACACCUGAGCCAAGACUGGACCAUCACCACCAUAGCACACUUACCGUCCACUGAUGGCUGCCUUAGUGCAUCUAUUUUGCCACAGCAAAGAUGCGGUGGAACAAUACUUCCUUGAAUUUGUGUUUCGUUACGAAUUCUGAAAGAAAUUCUCACCUCAUUCCCCUUUGCAUCCUUUGCCCAAUUCUCCACUGGCGCAUUUUCCAACUGAUUUGCAAAAUCUGUUUUGUUUUUGGCUUGGUUGC